AAAAAGAAAAUAAAAUGUCUUUCUUCUCUCUCCACUCUUCCGUCUUCUUUCUCUGCAUGUUCUUGUUGGUAGAUCUACCUCAUUCUUCCUUUUUUGCAUCAUAUAUGGUUUGCUAUUCCACUACAAUUUUAUUUUCAAAACGGACUUCUAAAAAUCAUACUUUUUAUCUAUGUUCUUCUUGUUUAGUCAUAUUUCUAUAAAUUUUUAUGUUUUAAUUGAAAGUUCUUAUAAAUCCAAAAUUUCUUGACCUUAAAAAUUGUAUAUUUUUUAAUAAUUUCAUCAAAUUUUAAUCAUUAGUAGAACAAUCAUGUAGGAAUUUUGUCAGACUUCCAUGGCCAAAGAGUCUUGAUUGAAAAGAUUGAGUGGUGAAUUAAAUUUUACUUUCCAAAAUGGUGAAUGAAAUCAAGUUAAUCUUAUUUCUUCAAAACUUUUUCCAUCAAAGUGUUUUGUUGUUGUUUAAAUGUUUUGUUGAUUUUUUGAAAUAUUUGUUUUUCCAAGUGAGAUAGUAGGAGAGAUUGGCGAUAGAUCCAAGUUUGGAAGAAAUGGAAAUGUUGUGUUUGUAGCAGAGAUUAGGGAGGAAGAAGAGGAAGAGUGGAGAGAGAAGAAAAAACACUUUUCAUUUUAUUUUUUUAAAAAGUAAUGUGCUUUCAAAAUUUAGUUGGAUGUAUCUAAAUGUUAAGUGUUGGGUAUGUGCCUAACCAAGACUUUCUC
Molecule: long non-coding RNA, 711 nt
Filed under: Trifolium pratense (red clover)
Lineage: Eukaryota; Viridiplantae; Streptophyta; Magnoliopsida; Fabales; Fabaceae
Description: long non-coding RNA (TPRA_LNC001508)
Source: RNAcentral